Long non-coding RNA from Stylophora pistillata, 2397 nucleotides. NCBI's taxonomy places the organism in Eukaryota, Metazoa, Cnidaria, Anthozoa, Scleractinia, Pocilloporidae. The record is from RefSeq and is a predicted model, not a curated record.
GGCUAUGGAAACACAUCUCUCUAUACAAACAUAUGACAAGGUCUACUGAAGGAUGCCUGAUAUCAGUGGGUGGGAGCUGCCCUAGUGCAUGAGAUGUCUGCAGAAGGAAACAAUUUUGAAAGUUUCAAAGAAUAUGGAGAUGAAAACUUUAAAGAAGACUUCUUGUUCAGGGAAAUUAUUAUUCUGAAGACAAAUAGCAAAUAGGCUUUCCAAAUAUGGGGUUUGCUUGUGCAUUACAGAGCACAGCUGUUGUACACAAGACAAGAAAGACUGUGUCCUUGACACAGAGAAAACAGUUACAUAUGGAUCAAUAAGUCUGGCUUUCCCAUGGAAAUAUGUUGGUGUUCUGCUUUCUGGAUUCUCCAUUGGCCUGGUGCAGAAGGCAGAUCCAUUGAUCAAUCCAUUAAUAUCAUAAUUCUGACAGAUCAUUUCUCAGGUUUAAUUAUCUUUCAUGUAGUUUGUCACACUCAUGAAGACAUCAAACAGGUUUGCCAAGAACUUUUUGUUAUUUCCCAUUUUUGCUGAUUGGGAAUUGAAAACUUCCCUUUACAGGGCAUUGACAGCAAGUCAUGUCACUGGUCUACUGCCCCAGAAAUUAAAUAAAUAUGUAUCCCUAUUUUCAUAAAAGUAGAGGAAUAAAAAGAUUUCCUUUCAUCUUAACACAGUCACCUCUGGAAUAAUUUACUUAAAAUAGAUAGUUCCCUAUUAAUAGUGGACGAUUACUGCUGUUAACUCCCUGAGUAUCAGACCCUAAUUCCCAGACAAGCCCUAGUCAAAAUAAUAGACAAAAUAAUAAAAGAUUUUAGUGUCUUUCCUAUCUCUCAUUGCAAUCAAACUUUACAGAAUUAGAAUUACCAACUAUACCCUUAAGAUUACUUGCUUCAGUUAUUGUAAAUAAAGCCCAAAGUUUCCUUGAAAAAAAUUAUAAAUUUGAAAAUGAGUUCCUUGUGCUGUCCUAUUGACACUUGUGCACAAGGCCGUGAGGUCUUUUUAUAAUUAUUUACAAUGAAAUUACUCACAUAUUUUCACUUGUUUGUAUCAGAAAUUCACAUUAACUAGUAAACCUUGCAAUUCAUCAAGAAAAAAUUACUGAAUAAAUCUGGGAUAACUCAUGAAAAUUUUUCCAACACGACUCAAAUUUGAAUUUGCAUGCCAUUUGCUGACAUCAAGAUACCCUGCAAUAUGCUGGGCAAAAAAUAACUCCUUAAUAUACUAUCUAGGAGCAAGGAAUGGAUUCUAAAUUGUAUUUUGACUCUCAAGUUUCGUGUAAAUCAAUUCUCUAAACAUUUUGUGUAUUUCAGCUUCCAUGAGCAGUGAAAUUAUAUUUUUUGGACUUGUUAUAAUCACACAAAAUGGUUUAUCAGUGAAGGUGCUAAAAUGCAUGAAACUUUUGUUUGCUAAAAAUCGAGUAUUCUAGGGGAUGAAUUUGCAUGAAAUUACAAAUAACACGAAAGGACAUAGUUCACUUUUGGUGACAAUUAGACUCUAACCUUGCCGUUCAAGAAAACAAGCUCUAUCACCACACAUUUUGCAUGGCGAUAGAGGGAACAGCACUGUUUGCAAACAAAGGUAGUUUCAAAGGUAUGGCUGUCAUAGCACUUUCUUUUAGCCUUUGCACACAUUGCACAAAGAUUGAAAAAACCUUUCACUGUAGCAUUUUCUCGUAGAUCUUUGGUCGGGUUGCAGGGAAUAGAAAAUGGCUCAAUAUCAAUAUCUGUUAAAACUAACGACCACUGAAGGACAUUUGCCUUGUCAUCUAAACUUUCAUGGCCGGUAGUUUCAUUUUCAUCCUCUUCCUCAUAGACAAAAAGCUUCAGAUCAGAAUUGUUUUCUAUUUCUGGAGUGGCAAGGACUUUUGUUUGCAUUACUCACAGCAGAUACCUGCCCUCACCCUCUUUCAGAAAUUUUGAAUUCACUGUUGUCUAUUUCUUUUUUGCUGACUUGAAUAAAGCAGAAAAUUCUCAAUUUAGAAAUGACGUUUCGUGUAUUCUUCCAUGUCAUUGGUUUCUUGAGGAACCUAGUUUCUGUAGAGUAAGGUUCAGAUUGCAAACCAAAUCUGAUUGGUUGACACGGUAACUUAUUUCCCAAUGAUCUCUUUAAAAGUGUGUAUAAGAUUUGAAUGUUUCAUUUAGGAACUGAGAUACCUAAACCAUCAGACAAAUUUUAAAAUGUUCACUAUUUUACAUUGGAGUAAACUUGUCCUGUUUAUCUCUUGAAAGCUACAAGGGAAUGUUUUCAUAAAAACUUUAUCAUCACUCCCUAAAAUGGUUUUUCAGGCACAAAAAUUCAUAAUUAGGUACCUGGGUAUGUAAUUAAAUAAGUGUGGGUAUGACAUUGAAUAGGUAUUUUACAUUUGGUACAUUUUUAAAUGGAGAUAUGUUGCUAGCCUAAGAGAGA